This 561-nucleotide long non-coding RNA is filed under the name Coccomyxa subellipsoidea. Its description in RNAcentral is "long non-coding RNA (CSUB_LNC000111)". The record is from RNAcentral. Lineage: Eukaryota; Viridiplantae; Chlorophyta; Trebouxiophyceae; Coccomyxaceae.
GUCCCUUCCCGCCAGAGCCUGACCGAGGACAAUUGCACAGAAACUUAUUGUCCUGACAAUUCUGCAUUGUCAUCUUCAGCAGAAUAUAUUGCUGGCAGCACUGCAAUCUUAUUGAAGAGAUGAGAGGUCAGUCAGCAAGUCAAACUAAUCCUCACAAGGGAAACCGACCUGCAAGGCCUGCUGGACAUGCUCCUUCUUGAAGCCAUGCACCAGCAUUGUGUCAUACACUUGUGCCAGCUCAUCAGCUGUCGCCCUGCCGCCAAGCUGUCUCGCCUUGCCCUUCCCCAGGUCCAGCCCCUGUGUCAUGACCAGCAACUGUUGAGACCAGUCACUCUAAAUUUGACAUAUAGAUAUAUGGACCGCAAGCUAAGUAGCGAGGGUAUCAGCAGCGGACAAGAUGUAUAAUAACUACAGUAGAAGCCAACAGAUGCAUCACGUCUUAAGAGCUCCCAGACAAGCCAGACACAAGCGCCUCUUCCCCGUGAGCAGACAGAGAGAAGCACACCUUGAGGGCAUCCCGCACUCUACUUUCAUUGUCAGCAGAGAUCUCGAUUGCAGAGG